CAAGUCGAGUGCUCGGUUGUAGCAAUACAACUGGCGCACGGCGCACGGGUGCGUAACACGUGGGCAAUCUGCCCUUCGAUGGGGAAUAUCUUCGGGAAACCGAAGCGAAUUCCGCAUAACAUUCCUUGGACCUCGGUUCGAGGACUCAAAGCCGUAAGGCGUCGAAGGAGGAGCCCGCGCACGAUUAGCUAGUUGGUAGGGUAACGGCCUACCAAGGCUUUGAUCGUUAGCUGGUCUGAGAGGAUGGCCAGCCACACUGGAACUGAGACACGGUCCAGACUCCUACGGGAGGCAGCAGUGGGGAAUCUUGCACAAUGGGCGAAAGCCUGAUGCAGCGACGCCGCGUGGGGGAUGAAGCAUUUCGGUGUGUAAACCCCUUUCGACCCGGAAGAAUGCCUCGCAAGAGGACUGACGGUACGGGUAUAAGAAGCCCCGGCUAACUACGUGCCAGCAGCCGCGGUAAGACGUAGGGGGCCAGCGUUGUUCGGAAUUACUGGGUGUAAAGGGUUCGUAGGCGGUGCGGCAAGUUGGGAGUGAAAUCUCUGGGCUCAACCCAGAGGCUGCUUCCAAAACUGCUGUGCUUGAGUGUGGGAGAGGCGCGUGGAAUUGCAGGUGUAGCGGUGAAAUGCGUAGAUAUCUGCAGGAACACCCGUGGCGAAAGCGGCGCGCUGGACCACUACUGACGCUGAGGAACGAAAGCUAGGGGAGCAAACAGGAUUAGAUACCCUGGUAGUCCUAGCCCUAAACGAUCAGGACUUGGGGUGCCACCCGUUCGGGUGUCGUCCCGGAGCUAACGCGUUAAGUCCUGCACCUGGGGAGUACGGUCGCAAGACUGAAACUCAAAGGAAUUGACGGGGGCCC
This 861-nucleotide ribosomal RNA is filed under the name uncultured Acidobacteriota bacterium. Its description in RNAcentral is "bacterial SSU rRNA". It matches the Rfam family "Bacterial small subunit ribosomal RNA", at positions 58 to 922 of the family's 1533-position model. The record is from RNAcentral. Lineage: Bacteria; Pseudomonadati; Acidobacteriota.